RNAcentral lists this ribosomal RNA (396 nucleotides) under uncultured eukaryote. RNAcentral's name for it is "bacterial SSU rRNA". It matches the Rfam family "Eukaryotic small subunit ribosomal RNA", at positions 592 to 1017 of the family's 1831-position model. The record is from RNAcentral.
CAAUAGCGUAUUUUUAAGUUGUUGCGGUUAAAAGCUCGUAGCUGGUUGUGUACUGAAGAAGCGUCGUCCACCCAAGUGGUGCGACAGCGCCUUCUUCUGUAUUUUCUGGCAGCGCUUGCGCUUGUCAGUCAUAUACCUUGAGGAAAGCAGAGUGCUCACAGCAGGCUACCGCCUUGCAUGUUAUAGCAUGGAAUAUUUUCAUAGGCUCCAGUCAUCUAUUGUUGGUUCAAGUGACUGGAAUUAAGGUCAAAAGAAACGGAUGGGGGCAUUCGUAUGUAAGCGCUAGAGGUGAAAUUCUUGGAUUGCUUACCGACGACCAGCGGCGAAAGCGUUUGCCAAAGACGUUUUUCAUUGGUCAAGAACGAAAGUUGGGGGAUCGAAGACGAUCAGAUACCA